AAGGAUCAUUAUAGAGUUCUGCCCUCUGGGGUAGACCUCCCACCCUUGAAUCUCAAACCUUUGUUGCUUUGGUAGCUGGCCUUCGGGCUGUUAUAGCUGCCAGAGGACCAAAACUCUGUGUUUAGUGAUGUCUGAGUACUAUAUAAUAGUUAAAACUUUCAACAACGGAUCUCUUGGUUCUGGCAUCGAUGAAGAACGCAGCGAAAUGCGAUAAGUAAUGUGAAUUGCAGAAUUCAGUGAAUCAUCGAAUCUUUGAACGCACAUUGCACCCCUUGGUAUUCCGAGGGGUAUGCCUGUUCGAGCGUCAUUAACACCAACAAGCCUAGCUUGGUAUCGCGGUUCGCUGCUUAGCGGCCCCUAAAAUCAGUGGCGGUGCCUAUAGAGCUCUAAGCGUAGUAAUUAUCCUCGCUUUUGGGCCCUCUAUAGAAGCUUGCCAAUAACCUCAACUUUUUAAGGUUUGACCUCGGAUCAGGUAGGGAUACCCGCUGAACUUAA
This 495-nucleotide ribosomal RNA is filed under the name Epacris pulchella root associated fungus EP12. RNAcentral's name for it is "eukaryotic LSU rRNA". The stretch from base 154 to 307 matches the Rfam family "5.8S ribosomal RNA". Lineage: Eukaryota; Fungi. The record is from RNAcentral.